RNAcentral lists this ribosomal RNA (551 nucleotides) under Rheinheimera aquatica. RNAcentral's name for it is "bacterial SSU rRNA". It matches the Rfam family "Bacterial small subunit ribosomal RNA", at positions 151 to 697 of the family's 1533-position model. Lineage: Bacteria; Pseudomonadati; Pseudomonadota; Gammaproteobacteria; Chromatiales; Chromatiaceae. The record is from RNAcentral.
UGGAAACGACUGUUAAUACCGCAUAAUGUCUACGGACCAAAGUGUGGGACCUUCGGGCCACAUGCUGUCGGAUGCGCCUACGUGGGAUUAGCUAGUUGGUGAGGUAAUGGCUCACCAAGGCGACGAUCCCUAGCUGGUUUGAGAGGAUGAUCAGCCACACUGGAACUGAGACACGGUCCAGACUCCUACGGGAGGCAGCAGUGGGGAAUAUUGGACAAUGGGCGAAAGCCUGAUCCAGCCAUGCCGCGUGUGUGAAGAAGGCCUUCGGGUUGUAAAGCACUUUCAGUAGGGAGGAAGAGUUGAGUGUUAAUAGUACUCAGCUUUGACGUUACCUACAGAAGAAGCACCGGCUAACUCUGUGCCAGCAGCCGCGGUAAUACAGAGGGUGCAAGCGUUAAUCGGAAUUACUGGGCGUAAAGCGCACGCAGGCGGUUGGUUAAGUCAGAUGUGAAAGCCCCGGGCUCAACCUGGGAAUUGCAUUUGAAACUGGCCAACUAGAGUACGUGAGAGGGGGGUAGAAUUCCAAGUGUAGCGGUGAAAUGCGUAGAGAU